UAACACGUAGGUAACCUGCCCAUGUGCCCGGGAUAACUUCUGGAAACGGAUGCUAAAACCGGAUAGGUAGCAGACAAGCAUUUGACUGCUAUUAAAGUGGCCUUGGCCAUGAACAUGGAUGGACCUGCGGUGCAUUAGCUAGUUGGUGAGGUAACGGCCCACCAAGGCGACGAUGCAUAGCCGGCCUGAGAGGGCGGACGGCCACAUUGGGACUGAGACACGGCCCAAACUCCUACGGGAGGCAGCAGUAGGGAAUUUUCGUCAAUGGGGGGAACCCUGAACGAGCAAUGCCGCGUGAGUGAGGAAGGUCUUCGGAUCGUAAAGCUCUGUUGUAAGAGAAAAACGGCACUCAUAGGGAAUGAUGAGUGAGUGAUGGUAUCUUACCAGAAAGUCACGGCUAACUACGUGCCAGCAGCCGCGGUAAUACGUAGGUGGCGAGCGUUAUCCGGAAUGAUUGGGCGUAAAGGGUGCGUAGGUGGCAGAUCAAGUCUGGAGUAAAAGGUAUGGGCUCAACCCGUACUGGCUCUGGAAACUGAUCAGCUAGAGAACAGAAGAGGACGGCGGAACUCCAUGUGUAGCGGUAAAAUGCGUAGAUAUAUGGAAGAACACCGGUGGCGAAGGCGGCCGUCUGGUCUGGAUUCUGACACUGAAGCACGAAAGCGUGGGGAGCAAAUAGGAUUAGAUACCCUAGUAGUCCACGCCGUAAACGAUGAGAACUAGGUGU
Molecule: ribosomal RNA, 724 nt
Filed under: uncultured bacterium
Lineage: Bacteria
Description: bacterial SSU rRNA
Rfam family: Bacterial small subunit ribosomal RNA
Source: RNAcentral